Molecule: long non-coding RNA, 1081 nt
Organism: Gallus gallus (chicken)
Lineage: Eukaryota; Metazoa; Chordata; Aves; Galliformes; Phasianidae
Source: Ensembl
AGAGAUCCCUGUGUGCCUGAGGCCUUCUGAAGCCUGGUGAUCCUAGGCUCCUGCCUGAAAUGACGCUGGUGCUUGUAGGAGGUGUUUUUCCCUGGACUGUGAGACUAGUGAGAUGCUGAAGCUGAACACGGAGCAGAUUUGCAGCUGAUUGCCCUGAUUGGAGCCUGGGAUGCGCUGUGCCCAAGCCAAGCAUCUGAGGGGUGCCAGCUCCAUUGCUGCCAGGGCUGGGAAAAGCACGGCCGUGCGUGGGGCUCCCUGUGGCCUCCUCAGUGGGACAGCCUUUCACUGCUGACACGUGUCUCAGAGAUAAAACAUCAUAACUUUACAGCACACACACAAACAUCUAUGGAAAUGAAAAUACUCUUUUGCUCCAAUCCUCUGGACAAUUCCAGUCUUCACAGAUCUGGGUGGUAGCAUCUCUUCUUGCCUGCCUUCCUUCUGAAAACAUAGAAAUCCCACUAAGGUGCUGUCACAGCAUUCAGACAUCAGCAUGAAGCUUGGGCAGCCUCAUCCAUAAGCUGUGGGCUCCUCAUGGGUGCUGCUGGCUAGGGGGGAGGUUUCCCUCUUUUGGGGCUGAUGGGAAGCGCAGCUGAUGCUUGCAGUGGAACUGGAAGAAAAUCAUGGUCCUGUGCACACAGGGGAUGGCCAGCUCUGUCACUAGAAACAUAAUCCCUCUUUUGGAACAAUGCUUCUGACAAGUGAAGUCAUCUUCAUCAUUAGUUUGGAUCAUGACAGAAGAAUAAACUUUCCAGAAGAUACUGCUUGUCCUUCACUUAUGUAAGUUAGGGAGGACUCUGGGCUCCCACUGAACAUUAAAAAUCUCCUCUUCUCUGUACUUUUCCAGCUUGUUUGAUAGAGGUAUUUUGGUAGAUUUAAUAAUAAUAAUAAAACUUUUAUUAAAAAAAGAAAAUCUUAAUUACACAAAUGCUUGGUGUGGACAGGAAGGCUCAUGUCAAAAGGUUUAAGCUUUGGGUUCAAUUUGGAUGAAUGCCUGAAAUUUAGUUCUGAACUAGUGGCAGCCUUUGAAUUUAUAAAUAUUAAUAUCCACCUGAGAUUCCAGUCCGAAGAAAAAGCAAGACUU